RNAcentral lists this ribosomal RNA (764 nucleotides) under uncultured bacterium. RNAcentral describes it as "bacterial SSU rRNA". It matches the Rfam family "Bacterial small subunit ribosomal RNA", at positions 50 to 802 of the family's 1533-position model. The record is from RNAcentral.
AACACAUGCAAGUCGAGGGGCAGCAUUCCAGUUUGCUUGCAAACUGGAGAUGGCGACCGGCGCACGGGUGAGUAACACGUAUCCAACCUGCCGAUAACUCGGGGAUAGCCUUUCGAAAGAAAGAUUAAUACCCGAUGGCAUAAUAGAACCGCAUGGUUUGAUUAUUAAAGAAUUUCGGUUAUCGAUGGGGAUGCGUUCCAUUAGGCAGUUGGUGGGGUAACGGCCCACCAAACCUUCGAUGGAUAGGGGUUCUGAGAGGAAGGUCCCCCACAUUGGAACUGAGACACGGUCCAAACUCCUACGGGAGGCAGCAGUGAGGAAUAUUGGUCAAUGGACGAGAGUCUGAACCAGCCAAGUAGCGUGAAGGAUGACUGCCCUAUGGGUUGUAAACUUCUUUUAUAUGGGAAUAAAGUGGUCCACGUGUGGAUUUUUGUAUGUACCAUAUGAAUAAGGAUCGGCUAACUCCGUGCCAGCAGCCGCGGUAAUACGGAGGAUCCGAGCGUUAUCCGGAUUUAUUGGGUUUAAAGGGAGCGUAGGUGGACAGUUAAGUCAGUUGUGAAAGUUUGCGGCUCAACCGUAAAAUUGCAGUUGAUACUGGCUGUCUUGAGUACAGUAGAGGUGGGCGGAAUUCGUGGUGUAGCGGUGAAAUGCUUAGAUAUCACGAAGAACUCCGAUUGCGAAGGCAGCACACUAAGCCGUAACUGACGUUCAUGCUCGAAAGUGUGGGUAUCAAACAGGAUUAGAUACCCUGGUAGUCCACACGG